GACGUAGGGCGCGAGCGUUGUCCGGAUUUAUUGGGCGUAAAGAGCUCGUAGGCGGCUUGUCGCGUCGAAUGUGAAAACCCACGGCUCAACUGUGGGCUUGCAUUCGAUACGGGCAGGCUAGAGUUCGGUAGGGGAGACUGGAAUUCCUGGUGUAGCGGUGAAAUGCGCAGAUAUCAGGAAGAACACCCGUGGCUAAGGCGGCUCUCUAGUACGGUACUGACGCUGAGACGCGAAAGCGUGGGGAGCGAACAGG
RNAcentral lists this ribosomal RNA (253 nucleotides) under uncultured bacterium. RNAcentral's name for it is "partial 16S ribosomal RNA". It matches the Rfam family "Bacterial small subunit ribosomal RNA", at positions 524 to 776 of the family's 1533-position model. The record is from RNAcentral.